RNAcentral lists this transfer RNA (72 nucleotides) under Ovis aries (sheep). It matches the Rfam family "tRNA". Rfam says of the family: Transfer RNA (tRNA) molecules are approximately 80 nucleotides in length. Their secondary structure includes four short double-helical elements and three loops (D, anti-codon, and T loops). The record is from Rfam by way of RNAcentral. Lineage: Eukaryota; Metazoa; Chordata; Mammalia; Artiodactyla; Bovidae.
UCCCUGGUGUCUCAGAUGGUAAAGCAUCUGCCUGCAAUGCGGGAGACCUGGGUUUGAUCCCUGGCUUGGGAA